Non-coding RNA from Poecilia reticulata (guppy), 377 nucleotides. Lineage: Eukaryota; Metazoa; Chordata; Actinopteri; Cyprinodontiformes; Poeciliidae. The record is from RefSeq and is a predicted model, not a curated record.
CUUCCUGCUUUGCUCGCUUGACGGUGGUCACUGUUCCGCAGCGGUCAGUAGAAAACAAGAACAGAAGAUGGCGGUUACUACGCUGCUAAGAAAAUAAGUCAGGUUUAAGAAAAAGAGGGGGAGAACAAAAGAAGCCAGACAAAAGAGUGACAAUUUAUAACCAAGUUUUUCUCCAAGAGAGGUGAGUCAGUCACCUCGAUACCAGCAUGACAUGACCUUUAACCCCGGUCCCAGUGAAAGAGAUGAAACGGAUUCCAGAGGAUUUGAAAUCCAUCGUCUGCAAUGAGAAACGUCAUAUUUCCAGCUGCCAGUCGGCCCAGGGAUAAACGUCAAGCCAUGCGAUGCUCAGAAAUAGAAAUAAAUAACUAAAAAUCUGA